This 444-nucleotide long non-coding RNA is filed under the name Monodelphis domestica (gray short-tailed opossum). Its description in RNAcentral is "lncRNA (ENSMODG00000036804.1)". The record is from RNAcentral. Lineage: Eukaryota; Metazoa; Chordata; Mammalia; Didelphimorphia; Didelphidae.
AUGUGGGACAAGGAGGAAGAUGAAAUGGGUAAGCUAAAAGAUGAGAAUGAGAUUCUCCAAGAGACCCUGAGACGAUGUACAAUACUAUUGGAGUCAGCUAUAUUCAAGCUUGAGGCUUCUAAGAAGAAGAGACAGCAAAAGGAAAAAAAGGAGGAAGAGACAUCGACUGAAUCAGAGGAUGAGAAACAGUGUUUCAAGGAUAAGAUGCAAAACUAUCUAUUGAAAAGGGACUCAUGUACAAGAAAACUCAGUUUUGCCGAGAAGACUGCACAGGAAGCAGAAAGUGAGGAAGAUGAAAUGUGUAAGCUAAAGGAAGAGAAUGAGAUUCUCCAAGAGGCCCUGAGACUAUGUACAAUACAGUUGGAGUCAGCUAAAAUCAAGCUUGAGGCUGCUGAGAAGGAGAGAGAGCAAAAGGGAAAAGAGGUAAGCAUAGCAAAGAAUUAA